AGAGGCUUAGGAUAGCAUAAGACCAAGAGCCUUCAAAGCUCUAAGCAGAAGUGAAAAUCUUCUAGCCCCUG
This 71-nucleotide transfer RNA is filed under the name Hemibarbus medius. Its description in RNAcentral is "tRNA-Trp". It matches the Rfam family "tRNA". Rfam says of the family: Transfer RNA (tRNA) molecules are approximately 80 nucleotides in length. Their secondary structure includes four short double-helical elements and three loops (D, anti-codon, and T loops). Lineage: Eukaryota; Metazoa; Chordata; Actinopteri; Cypriniformes; Gobionidae. RNAcentral also lists the same sequence under 4 other names. The record is from RNAcentral.